GAUGAACGCUGGUGGCGUGCCUAAUACAUGCAAGUCGAGCGAACAGACGAGGAGCUUGCUCCUCUGACGUUAGCGGCGGACGGGUGAGUAACACGUGGAUAACCUACCUAUAAGACUGGGAUAACUUCGGGAAACCGGAGCUAAUACCGGAUAAUAUAUUGAACCGCAUGGUUCAAUAGUGAAAGACGGUUUUGCUGUCACUUAUAGAUGGAUCCGCGCCGCAUUAGCUAGUUGGUAAGGUAACGGCUUACCAAGGCAACGAUGCGUAGCCGACCUGAGAGGGUGAUCGGCCACACUGGAACUGAGACACGGUCCAGACUCCUACGGGAGGCAGCAGUAGGGAAUCUUCCGCAAUGGGCGAAAGCUUGACGGGGCAACGCCGCGUGAGUGAUGAAGGUCUUCGGAUCGUAAAACUCUGUUAUUAGGGAAGAACAAAUGUGUAAGUAACUAUGCACGUCUUGACGGUACCUAAUCAGAAAGCCACGGCUAACUACGUG
RNAcentral lists this ribosomal RNA (497 nucleotides) under uncultured bacterium. RNAcentral's name for it is "partial 16S ribosomal RNA". It matches the Rfam family "Bacterial small subunit ribosomal RNA", at positions 28 to 507 of the family's 1533-position model. The record is from RNAcentral.